UGUUUGUUAGUAGUUAUUUUGUAUGUAGUCGAUACGAAAAUUGUAUGCUCAGUAAGUUAAAUGGUAAUUGGUCUCCUUAAUCAUGCAAACAGCAACACUAUGGAAGCUUUUUAAUAUAUUGAACAGACCUUGUUCCGAAUGUUGAAUAUUACAAUAUAUAUUUCUAACUGUUAACCAUGACUGCCUGUAAUAAUCUAAUUAACAUGAUCAAAUCAGUAAAACUCCUGUAUAUUGGGAGAAAAACGGUUUAAUGCAAUAAUUAUCAAACAUGUUUGCUUAAAGAGUAGCCAAAGUCAACUGCCAUUUGAGUGUUAAGAUAUUUCACUCUAACACUUCCUAAGGAAUAAUACAUUCUAACUUAUAUGAAGUAUUUUCAACAACAAAUGGAAAUUUUUAACGACCUUGACUGGCUAUACAGCCCUUGCACAGUCCGAUUGGAAGUAUUUUAAACUGUUGGCCAUUAAUGUAUGUCUAAGAGCUCCAAAAAUGUCGGGUGUUUACAAUGUUGCUUUUGCAAGCAGCAUACAUUUCUGCAAAUUAUUCGAUCAGCAGUUAUUUUGUCUAUUAUAUGAACCUCAUAAUAAAAAUGCCACAAUAAAUGAAGACAAAUCUUCCAAUCUAAUUAAAAACCGAUCUCUCAUGCUCCUGUUUUCUGAUAUGUCGGGGGCUCCCACGCGACAUAUCAGAAAACGGGAGCAUGAGAGAUUGGUUCUUAAUUAGAUUGCAAAUCUUCUAUCCUAUAAAAAUUCCACUACUUUUUAAACAAUGUGCAAGAUUCAUUAACG
RNAcentral lists this long non-coding RNA (785 nucleotides) under Mytilus galloprovincialis (Mediterranean mussel). Lineage: Eukaryota; Metazoa; Mollusca; Bivalvia; Mytilida; Mytilidae. The record is from RNAcentral.